UAAUAAGUGUUUAUGGCACUUUUUAAAUCCAUAUCCACCUUGUGUGCAAUGUCCGUCGAUCUUCUUCAUGGAGAUCGACCAAACAUCAACCUUUAUCUUUUAACUCUUUGUCUGAAAAUAUUAUGAAUAAACAAUUCAAAAUA
RNAcentral lists this unclassified non-coding RNA (143 nucleotides) under soil metagenome. Its description in RNAcentral is "partial internal transcribed spacer 1". The record is from RNAcentral.